AAGCCUGAUCCAGCAAUGCCGCGUGUGUGAAGAAGGCCUGCGGGUUGUAAAGCACUUUUAUCAGGAAAGAAAAUCACAGGGCUAAUACCCCUGUGCCUUGACGGUACUUGAUGAAUAAGCACCGGCUAACUCCGUGCCAGCAGCCGCGGUAAUA
This 154-nucleotide ribosomal RNA is filed under the name uncultured bacterium. RNAcentral describes it as "partial 16S ribosomal RNA". It matches the Rfam family "Bacterial small subunit ribosomal RNA", at positions 379 to 525 of the family's 1533-position model. The record is from RNAcentral.